RNAcentral lists this ribosomal RNA (820 nucleotides) under Mycobacterium sp. RNAcentral's name for it is "bacterial SSU rRNA". It matches the Rfam family "Bacterial small subunit ribosomal RNA", at positions 107 to 928 of the family's 1533-position model. Lineage: Bacteria; Bacillati; Actinomycetota; Actinomycetes; Mycobacteriales; Mycobacteriaceae. The record is from RNAcentral.
UGAGUAACACGUGGGUGAUCUGCCCUGCACUUUGGGAUAAGCCUGGGAAACUGGGUCUAAUACCGAAUAGGACCGCGCUCUUCAUGGGGUGUGGUGGAAAGCUUUUGCGGUGUGGGAUGGGCCCGCGGCCUAUCAGCUUGUUGGUGGGGUAAUGGCCUACCAAGGCGACGACNGGUAGCCGGCCUGAGAGGGUGACCGGCCACACUGGGACUGAGAUACGGCCCAGACUCCUACGGGAGGCAGCAGUGGGGAAUAUUGCACAAUGGGCGCAAGCCUGAUGCAGCGACGCCGCGUGAGGGAUGACGGCCUUCGGGUUGUAAACCUCUUUCAAUAGGGACGAAGCGCAAGUGACGGUACCUAUAGAAGAAGGACCGGCCAACUACGUGCCAGCAGCCGCGGUAAUACGUAGGGUCCGAGCGUUGUCCGGAAUUACUGGGCGUAAAGAGCUCGUAGGUGGUUUGUCGCGUUGUUCGUGAAAACUCACAGCUUAACUGUGGGCGUGCGGGCGAUACGGGCAGACUAGAGUACUGCAGGGGAGACUGGAAUUCCUGGUGUAGCGGUGGAAUGCGCAGAUAUCAGGAGGAACACCGGUGGCGAANGCGGGUCUCUGGGCAGUAACUGACGCUGAGGAGCGAAAGCGUGGGGAGCGAACAGGAUUAGAUACCCUGGUAGUCCACGCCGUAAACGGUGGGUACUAAGGUGUGGGGUUUCCUUCCUUGGGAUCCGUGCCGUAGCUAAACGCAUUUAAGUACCCCCGCCUGGGGGAGUACGGCCGCAAAGGCUAAAAACUCAAAGGGAAUUUGANCGGGGGCCCGCACAA